CGUGGGAUGGGGUUAUACCGAUAAAGGGUUUUCUCCUUCUCGGAGACUCGGACUCGGAGGUGAAUCGUGCGUAAGGUAGGGAAGAGCUUGCUGAACCAGGGUAAAUCAGCGAAGGAGGAGGAAGAAUCUUCGAUGGCCCAGCGAUGAUGUUUGCGUCUAACAGCAAUAGUUGCAGCUUCGACAGAUGAAAGGAGACUCGCAGCGGGAGUUUCGUAUCCAUAUUUCAGAAGCAAAUUCGUGCCUGCGAGCUGUUAAACCAGAGAAGUGUAAAAGCUGGUAGUGUGCAACUUGCUGGAUGGUUGAAGAGAUGGCCCCACUGCGCUCCACAGGAUUCGUUGACCCUGGAUGGGAGCAUGGCAUUGCCCAAGAUGAGAGAAAGAAGAAAGUCAAAUGCAAUUAUUGUGAGAAAGUAGUCAGUGGUGGAAUAUACAGAUUAAAACAACAUUUAGCCAGAAUUUCUGGGGAAGUUGCAUAUUGCAGGAAGGUUCCAGAGGAAGUAUGCGUGAAAAUGAAGGAAAAUUUGCAGGGAUGUCGGUGUAUCAAGAAAAGGCAAUCUCAAGAUGAAGAACAGGCAUUCUUGGAUUUUCACUCUAAUGAUGAUGAAGAGGAAGAAUCUGUUGGUUAUAAAAGCAAAGGUAAACGAGCAAUGGGUGAUAAGAAUUUGGUAAUUUGUUUGGCUCCCCUUCGGUCGUUAGGAUAUGUUGACCCGGGUUGGGAACACGGUGUUGCCCAAGAUGGGAGGAAAAAGAAGGUAAAAUGCAAUUAUUGUGAAAAAAUAGUUAGUGGAGGUAUAAACCGUUUCAAACAACAUCUUGCCAGGAUCCCAGGGGAAGUUGCAUAUUGUAAAAAGGCUCCAGAGGAAGUAUAUCUUAAAAUGAAGGAGAACAUGAAAUGGCACCGAACUGGCAGGAGACAGCGCCAACCUGAAGCUAAUGAGAUUGCUGCUUUCUACAUGCAUUCAGAUAAUGAGGAUGAAGAGGAAGAGCAGGAGAUGUAUCUUCUGCAAGAUGGUAAGGAGAAGCAGGUAACUGAUGAUGAAAGUUUGGGCAAAGACACUAGGAAAAGACUCAUGGGGAGGUCCCCUGGUGAUGGUAUUGGUGGUUCCGAACCACAGUUAAAGAGAUCAAGAUUGGAUUCUGUCAUGUUAAAAUCACCAAAAAGUCAGACCUAUAAACAGGUGAAGGCAAAGACGGUGCCUGAUAAAAAGACUCGUAAGGAAGUGAUAUCUGCAAUAUGCAAGUUCUUUUAUCAUGCAGCAAUUCCUUUGAAUGCUGCAAGUUCCCCGUAUUUCCAUAAGAUGCUGGAGUUGGUUGGUCAACAUGGUGAAGCGCUGAAAGGCCCUUCUAGCCGGUUGAUUUCUGGUCGAUUUCUACAGGAUGAGAUUACAACAAUUAAAGAAUAUUUAGUGGAAUUUAAAGCAUCAUGGUCAAUUACUGGUUGUACUAUUAUGGCAGAUAGUUGGAAAGAUGCACAGGGAAGGACGUUGAUCAAUUUUUUGGUUUCAUGUCCGCGUGGUGUGUACUUUGUUUCAUCCAUUGAUGCAACAGAUACAGUGGAAGAUGCUUCCAACCUUUUCAAGUUGUUGGACAAAGUGGUGGAUGAGAUUGGUGAGGAAAAUGUGGUGCAGGUAAUCACUGAGCACACUGCCAGUUACAAGGCUGCUGGGAAGAUGCUGGAGGAGAAGAGGAGGAAUUUAUUCUGGACACCGUGUGCUGCCUAUUAUAUUGAUCGGAUGCUUGAAGAUUUUGAGAAGAUAAAGUGGGUUGGAGAGUGCAUGGACAAAGGCAAAAAAAUUACGAAGUUCAUUUACAACCGAACUUGGUUAUUAAAUCUUAUGAAAAAAGAAUUUACAGGAGGCCGGGAUCUCCUCAAUUCAGCGGUUACAAGGUUUGCUACCAGUUUUAUUACUUUACGGAGCUUGUUGGACAAUAGGAUAGGUCUUAAGAGGAUGUUCCAAUCAAAUAAAUGGCUUUCAUCUCAGUUUUCCAAAUUAGAUGAGGGAAAAGAAGUGGAGAAAAUUGUAUUAAGUUCUACAUUUUGGAAGAAGAUGCAGUAUGUCAGAAAAUCUGUGGAGCCAAUUGUGCAAGUUCUUCAAAAGGUGGAUAGUGAUGAAGGUCUUUCGAUGCCUUCCAUCUAUAAUGAUAUGUAUAGAGCUAAGCUAGCAGUGAAAGCUAUCCAUGGUGAUGAUGUACGAAAAUAUGGACCAUUCUCAGCUGUCAUAGAUGACCAUUGGGACUCGUUGUUUCAUCAUCCUCUAUAUGUGGCAGCCUACUUCCUCAAUCCAUCUUAUCGUUACCGUCCUGAUUUUUUAGCGCAUCCUGAGGUAAUUCGUGGACUAAAUGAAUGUAUUGUUCGACUAGAGCCUGACAAUGGAAGGAGGGUUUGUGCAUCCAUGCAGAUUUCUGAUUUUGUUUCCGCAAAAGCUGAUUUUGGAACUGAGUUGGCCGUAAGUACAAGAGCAGAGCUUGACCCAGCUGCUUGGUGGCAACAACAUGGGAUAAAUUGCUUGGAACUACAACGAAUAGCCAUUCGCAUAUUAAGCCAAACAUGCUCUUCUUUUGGGUGUGAGCAUAAUUGGAGUAUUUAUGAUCAGAUCCAUAGCAAGAGGCGCAACCGCCUGGCUCAGAAAAGAUUGAAUGACCUUAUUUACGUCCAUUACAACUUGCGACUUAGGGAGCGCCAAUUGAGAAGAAAACCUGAUGAUGCAAUCUCCCUUGACAAUGUCCUGCUAGAAAGCCUGCUAGAUGACUGGAUUGUGGAGACAGACACACAAACUCUGCAGGAAGACGAGAUCUUUUGGUCACAGGAGAUUUUUUAUAAUGAGGUGAAAAUGGAGGCAGAUGAAACUGAGGUGAACGAGAUUGAAGAUGCAAAUCCCGUGGAAAGUAAUUUGGAGAUGGGGACAUUGGUGGAUGUAGUAGUUGAACCUGUGGGGGUCAACCCUGCAACUAUGCUUGCUGCUACUGAUGAUGAUGAUGAUGACGAUCUUGAUUUUCUUGACGAUGAUUUGACUGAUUAAUAGAUUUAUGUUGCUCAUCUCACACAUGAAUGAAUUAGUUAAUAUGAAGAAUGCUUACAAUAGUUGAAUAGUGAUAUGAUAAGGCAUUGCAUUGAGGUUUCCCAGGUGCAAUUCUGAUGAUGUAAUUUGUUGUGUAAUUUAUUAAUUCAAAGGAAAUAAUGGGGGUUCUGAAGUCGAUCAUCAUCUCACUGAAGCUCACGAUCAAACCAUCAUCUGCUUUGUCUUUGGAAUCACCGUUCUGUAGGGCCCUGAUGAAGCUUGAGAAAAAAAAAAGAUAAAAACAGAGAGUACAGUGGGAGAAGAGAGAUUUGAAGGAUUUCUAUAGAGGACUUUUUAAGAGAGAAUUUUCCAACUCUUAAAAGAGGAAACGAGAUGGAGGGAAAGAUUUUGUUUCUUCCUCGCUUAUAACUGGUGCUGUGUCACGUCGUUGAUGCGUCUCGGCCAUUGGUAAGGGAGGAGAAGAAGAAAAAGGGAUUGAUGGAGAUUAGUAGAGAGAAUUAGAUUUAACAGAGAGAGAUCUCCUUGCUCUGGAAAGGAAGAAGGUGGUGUUUCUCUUCUUGUUGACACUGGUUGUGUUUCUUAUGGAAAAUCCAUAUCCACCCAAAAUUUAAGACUUUCUUCGGGAGGAUUUCCCAUGGCGGCCCAACCAAGGACAAGAUGGGGAAAAGGGUGCCCAUGGACAACACAUGUACUUUAUGCAAUUUUGGACAGAAAUUCGCUUGGCACCUUUUUUCCUGCCGGGACUUCACCAAACGUAUAUGGGUUACUAGUCCAUUGGGACUACAGACUCAUGCAUCAAAGCUUCCUCUUUUCAAAAUUUAUGUAUUUCUUUAAAUCUACAUUUACCUCAUCUCAAGAUCGUAUAUAUUUUUUUUCGGUGUUUAUUAUAA
Molecule: RNA transcript, 3909 nt
Organism: Macadamia integrifolia
Lineage: Eukaryota; Viridiplantae; Streptophyta; Magnoliopsida; Proteales; Proteaceae
Exons: 9
Source: RefSeq, a predicted model, not a curated record